Long non-coding RNA from Lolium rigidum, 370 nucleotides. RefSeq lists it as uncharacterized. The record is from RefSeq and is a predicted model, not a curated record. The transcript is spliced from 4 exons. Lineage: Eukaryota; Viridiplantae; Streptophyta; Magnoliopsida; Poales; Poaceae.
UCCUCUAGAUCUGGUCCAAAGGUUCGAAUUCGGCGCUUGGUGCUCCCGAAACAUUGGGGAAGUGAUGGAGCAUGAUGCUGAAGAGAACGAAUGUGAGAAAGAUGGGGAUAGCACACAGGGAAUAGGUAAGCAUCUGAGUUGCUGAUAGGAAGGAGAGAUAAAAAAAAAUGAGCUCGGUUGUAUACUUGUAUUGAUGGGGACAGCCGGCCGACACCAGCGAUGGUUGUGGAGGUCGCUGGCCAAGAACUCGUGCUCAUGCUCAUGGUGGCCGGCACCGUUAAAGUUAUUAUUAUUUUGUUACCUUAAUGAAAUAUGUAACUGUUAUUUGAGAUAAUGAAGUUAUCUUCAAUAAAACUAAUCUAAGUUUGUA